Molecule: ribosomal RNA, 460 nt
Filed under: uncultured bacterium
Lineage: Bacteria
Description: partial 16S ribosomal RNA
Rfam family: Bacterial small subunit ribosomal RNA
Source: RNAcentral
CCUACGGGUGGCAGCAGUGAGGAAUAUUGGUCAAUGGGCUUACGCCUGAACCAGCCAAGUCGCGUGAGGGAAGACUGCCCUAUGGGUUGUAAACCUCUUUUGUCAGGGAGCAACGCCGGCUACGUGUAGCCGGACUGAGAGUCCCUGAAGAAAAAGCAUCGGCUAACUCCGUGCCAGCAGCCGCGGUAAUACGGAGGAUGCGAGCAUUAUCCGGAUUGAUUGGGUUUAAAGGGUGCGUAGGCGGAAUGCCGAGUCAGCGGUAAAAGCGCGAGGCUAAAACCCGCUCCGCCGUUGAAACUGGCGUUCUUGAGUGCGCGAGAGGUAUGCGGAAUGCGUGGUGUAGCGGUGAAAUGCAUAGAUAUCACGCAGAACUCCGAUUGCGAAGGCAGCAUACCGGCGCCCAACUGACGCUGAAGCACGAAAGCGUGGGUAUCGAACAGGAUUAGAUACCCGAGUAGUC